RNAcentral lists this long non-coding RNA (617 nucleotides) under Homo sapiens (human). RNAcentral's name for it is "non-protein coding LINC02109:42". Lineage: Eukaryota; Metazoa; Chordata; Mammalia; Primates; Hominidae. The record is from RNAcentral.
CACAAGGUCAGGAGAUUGAGACCAUCCUGAGUAACACGGUGAAACCCCGUCUGUACAAAAAAUACAAAAAAUUAGCUGGGUGUGGUGGCAUGCGCCUAUAGUCCCAGCUACUCGGGAGGCUGAAGCAAGACAAUCACUUGAACCUGGUAGGCGAAGGUUGGAGUGAGCCGAGAUCGCGCCCCUGCACUCCAGCCUGGGAGAGACAGAGAGAGACUUCCAGUCUUAAAAAAAAAAAAAAGUCGUAUUUAAAAAACAAGGAGUAACUGAAAAAGUAACUAUAUAACUAAUAUAUUACUCUCUGAACUAUGUAACAAAAAUAUUUCUCUACAAAAUACUAUUAUUCCUAUAAUCCAUUUAUUUCUAUAUACCAUGUUUGUGUCACUAUAGGUUGGUAUGUACCCAAUUGUGACUAAACCAAAAGAAACAAAUCUGGAAACUGAAGUAUCAAUACGUGAAAAGCGUUCUUUUGGUAUUGGGAGUGCCAGUUGUCUUUGUUUCAUGAACUACUUCUCCGUAAUAGCAUGCAGCCAUCUUCAAGAGGUGAGAAUUUCACUUAGCGACUUAAACAGAAGUGUUAUCUCAAGAUAAUAUAAUAUCUGGAGGUAAAACAGCAUCCC